RNAcentral lists this transfer RNA (74 nucleotides) under Actinomycetes bacterium. RNAcentral describes it as "Actinobacteria bacterium tRNA-Met". It matches the Rfam family "tRNA". From Rfam's summary of the family: Transfer RNA (tRNA) molecules are approximately 80 nucleotides in length. Their secondary structure includes four short double-helical elements and three loops (D, anti-codon, and T loops). RNAcentral also lists the same sequence under 2 other names. Lineage: Bacteria; Bacillati; Actinomycetota; Actinomycetes. The record is from RNAcentral.
GGGCCCGUAGCUCAGCUGGUCAGAGCAGCGGACUCAUAAUCCGUUGGUCGGUGGUUCGAGUCCACCCGGGCCCA